This 465-nucleotide ribosomal RNA is filed under the name uncultured bacterium. Its description in RNAcentral is "bacterial SSU rRNA". It matches the Rfam family "Bacterial small subunit ribosomal RNA", at positions 917 to 1382 of the family's 1533-position model. The record is from RNAcentral.
GGACCCGCACAAGCGGUGGAGCAUGUGGUUUAAUUCGAAGCAACGCGAAGAACCUUACCAGGUCUUGACAUCCCCCUGACCGUCACAUAACUGUGACUUCUCUUCGGAGCAGGGGUGACAGGUGGUGCAUGGUUGUCGUCAGCUCGUGUCGUGAGAUGUUGGGUUAAGUCCCGCAACGAGCGCAACCCUUAUCUUUAGUAGCCAGCGGUUCGGCCGGGCACUCUAGAGAGACUGCCAGGGAUAACCUGGAGGAAGGUGGGGAUGACGUCAAAUCAUCAUGCCCCUUAUGAUCUGGGCUACACACGUGCUACAAUGGCGUAAACAAAGAGAAGCAAGAGGGCGACCUGGAGCAAAUCUCAAAAAUAACGUCUCAGUUCGGAUUGUAGUCUGCAACUCGACUACAUGAAGCUGGAAUCGCUAGUAAUCGCGAAUCAGAAUGUCGCGGUGAAUACGUUCCCGGGUCUU